GGGGGUUUAGCUCAGUGGUAGAGCGCUUGCCUAGCAAGCACAAGGACCUGGGUUCGGUCCCCAGCUCCG
Molecule: transfer RNA, 69 nt
Filed under: Rattus norvegicus (Norway rat)
Lineage: Eukaryota; Metazoa; Chordata; Mammalia; Rodentia; Muridae
Rfam family: tRNA
About the family: Transfer RNA (tRNA) molecules are approximately 80 nucleotides in length. Their secondary structure includes four short double-helical elements and three loops (D, anti-codon, and T loops).
Source: Rfam by way of RNAcentral